Molecule: ribosomal RNA, 443 nt
Filed under: uncultured bacterium
Lineage: Bacteria
Description: partial 16S ribosomal RNA
Rfam family: Bacterial small subunit ribosomal RNA
Source: RNAcentral
CCUACGGGAGGCAGCAGUGGGGAAUAUUGGGCAAUGGGCGCAAGCCUGACCCAGCAACGCCGCGUGAAGGAAGAAGGCUUUCGGGUUGUAAACUUCUUUUCUCAGGGACGAAGCAAGUGACGGUACCUGAGGAAUCAGCCACGGCUAACUACGUGCCAGCAGCCGAGGUAAUACGUAGGUGGCAAGCGUUAUCCGGAUUUACUGGGUGUAAAGGGCGUGUAGGCGGGAAAGCAAGUCAGAUGUGAAAACCAUGGGCUCAACCUGGGGCCUGCAUUUGAAACUGGUAUUCUUGAGUACUGGGGAGGCAGACGGAAUUCCUAGUGUAGCGGUGAAAUGCGUAGAUAUUAGGAGGAACACCAGUGGCGAAGGCGGUCUGCUGGACAGCAACUGACGCUGAGGCGCGAAAGCGUGGGGAGCAAACAGGAUUAGAUACCCUAGUAGUC